Molecule: ribosomal RNA, 414 nt
Filed under: uncultured microorganism
Description: bacterial SSU rRNA
Rfam family: Archaeal small subunit ribosomal RNA
Source: RNAcentral
CAGCCGCCGCCGUAAUACCGGCGGCCCGAGUGGCGGCCACUAUUAUUGGGCUUAAAGCGUCCGUAGCCGGGUUGGUUAGUCUCCCGGGAAAUCUGGCCGCUUAACGGUCAGAAUUCCGGGAGAUACUGCCAGCCUAGGGACCGGGAGAGGCCGAGGGGAUUCCCGGAGUAGGGGUGAAAUCCUAUAAUCCCGGGAGGACCACCUGUGGCGAAGGCGCCCGGCUGGAACGGGUCCGACGGUGAGGGACGAAGGCCAGGGGAGCAAACCGGAUUAGAUCCCCGGGUAGUCCUGGCUGUAAACGAUGCGGACUUUGUGUCGGACAAGCUAUGAGCUUGUCCGGUGCCGGAGGGAAACCGUUAAGUCCGCCGCCUGGGGAGUACGGCCGCAAGGCUGAAACUUAAAGGAAUUGGCGGG